AGAGUUUGAUCCUGGCUCAGGACGAACGUUGGCGGUGCGCUUAAUGCAUGCAAGUCGAGGGAGAACCUUUCGAUCCGUAAGGACCGAAUGGGGAAACCGGCGAACGGGUGCGUAACACGUGAGGAACCUGCCCCGAAGACCGGGAUAGCCCGAGGAAACUCGGAUUAAUACCGGAUACCCUCCUCGGACCACAUGGUCUGUUGAGGAAAUGGUCCGCCGCUUCGGGAUGGCCUCGCGGCCUAUCAGCUUGUUGGUGAGGUAAUGGCUCACCAAGGCAAAGACGGGUAGCUGGUCUGAGAGGACGAUCAGCCACACUGGGACUGAGACACGGCCCAGACUCCUACGGGAGGCAGCAGCAGGGAAUAUUGCACAAUGGGCGAAAGCCUGAUGCAGCGACACCGCGUGCGGGAUGAAGGCCCUCGGGUUGUAAACCGCUUUCAGGAGGGACGAAAAUGACGGUACCUCCAGAAGAAGGCCCGGCCAACUACGUGCCAGCAGCCGCGGUAAUACGUAGGGGCCAAACGUUGUCCGGAUUUAUUGGGCGUAAAGGGCUCGUAGGCGGUUCAACAAGUCGAUCGUGAAAGCCCGGGGCUCAACCCCGGGACGCCGGUCGAAACUGUUGUGACUAGGGUCCGGUAGAGGUGAGUGGAAUUCUCGGUGUAGCGGUGGAAUGCGCAGAUAUCGAGAGGAACACCAGUU
This 699-nucleotide ribosomal RNA is filed under the name uncultured bacterium. Its description in RNAcentral is "bacterial SSU rRNA". It matches the Rfam family "Bacterial small subunit ribosomal RNA", at positions 8 to 714 of the family's 1533-position model. The record is from RNAcentral.